AGUGCUUGCACUCAAUUGGAAAGAGGAGUGGCGGACGGGUGAGUAACACGUGGGUAACCUACCCAUCAGAGGGGGAUAACACUUGGAAACAGGUGCUAAUACCGCAUAACAGUUUAUGCCGCAUGGCAUAAGAGUGAAAGGCGCUUUCGGGUGUCGCUGAUGGAUGGACCCGCGGUGCAUUAGCUAGUUGGUGAGGUAACGGCUCACCAAGGCCACGAUGCAUAGCCGACCUGAGAGGGUGAUCGGCCACACUGGGACUGAGACACGGCCCANACUCCUACGGGAGGCAGCAGUAGGGAAUCUUCGGCAAUGGACGAAAGUCUGACCGAGCAACGCCGCGUGAGUGAAGAAGGUUUUCGGAUCGUAAAACUCUGUUGUUAGAGAAGAACAAGGACGUUAGUAACUGAACGUCCCCUGACGGUAUCUAACCAGAAAGCCACGGCUAACUACGUGCCAGCAGCCGCGGUAAUACGUAGGUGGCAAGCGUUGUCCGGAUUUAUUGGGCGUAAAGCGAGCGCAGGCGGUUUCUUAAGUCUGAUGUGAAAGCCCCCGGCUCAACCGGGGAGGGUCAUUGGAAACUGGGAGACUUGAGUGCAGAAGAGGAGAGUGGAAUUCCAUGUGUAGCGGUGAAAUGCGUAGAUAUAUGGAGGAACACCAGUGGCGAAGGCGGCUCUCUGGUCUGUAACUGACGCUGAGGCUCGAAAGCGUGGGGAGCAAACAGGAUUAGAUACCCUGGUAGUCCACGCCGUAAACGAUGAGUGCUAAUGUUGGAGGGUUUCCGCCCUUCAGUGCUGCAGCAACGCAUUAAGCACUCCGCCUGGGGAGUACGACCGCA
RNAcentral lists this ribosomal RNA (835 nucleotides) under Enterococcus sp. C378. RNAcentral describes it as "bacterial SSU rRNA". It matches the Rfam family "Bacterial small subunit ribosomal RNA", at positions 70 to 890 of the family's 1533-position model. The record is from RNAcentral. Lineage: Bacteria; Bacillati; Bacillota; Bacilli; Lactobacillales; Enterococcaceae.